Molecule: ribosomal RNA, 1213 nt
Filed under: uncultured organism
Description: bacterial SSU rRNA
Rfam family: Bacterial small subunit ribosomal RNA
Source: RNAcentral
CUUACACAUGCAAGUCGAGCGGAGAUUGCAUUUAUGUAAUCUUAGCGGCGGACGGGUGAGUAGCGCGUAGGCAACCUGCCUUGCACAGAGGGAUAACACCGGGAAACUGGUGCUAAUACCACAUGAUAUCAUAACAAGGCAUCUUGAAAUGAUCAAAGGAUAAAUCCGGUGCAAGAUGGGCCUGCGUCCGAUUAGUUAGUUGGUGAGGUAACGGCUCACCAAGGCGACGAUCGGUAGCCGAACUGAGAGGUUGAUCGGCCACAUUGGGACUGAGACACGGCCCAGACUCCUACGGGAGGCAGCAGUGGGGAAUAUUGCGCAAUGGGGGGAACCCUGACGCAGCAACGCCGCGUGAAGGAAGAAGGCCUUCGGGUUGUAAACUUUUUUGAUUGGGGAAGAAAAAAAUGACGGUACCCAAGGAACAAGCCACGGCUAACUACGUGCCAGCAGCCGCGGUAAUACGUAGGUGGCGAGCGUUGUCCGGAAUUACUGGGUGUAAAGGGCGUGUAGGCGGGAUUGUAAGUCAGAUGUGAAAUUCCAGGGCUUAACUCUGGAGGUGCAUCUGAAACUAUAAUUCUUGAGUGCUGGAGAGGAAAGCGGAAUUCCUAGUGUAGCGGUGAAAUGCGUAGAUAUUAGGAAGAACACCAGUGGCGAAGGCGGCUUUCUGGACAGUAACUGACGCUGAGGCGCGAAAGCGUGGGGAGCAAACAGGAUUAGAUACCCUGGUAGUCCACGCUGUAAACGAUGGAUACUAGGUGUAGAAGGUAUCGACCCCUUCUGUGCCGGAGUUAACACAAUAAGUAUCCCACUUGGGGAGUACGCCCGCAAGCCUGAAACUCAAAGGAAUUGACGGGGGCCCGCACAACCAUUGAAGUAUGUGGUUAAAUUCGAACCAACCCGAAGAACCUUACCAGGCCUGAACAUCCUUCGGAUUAACAUAGAAAUAGGUUAGUCUUUCGGGACGAGAAACCAGUUGUUCCAUGUUGGUCGCCAGCUCGUUUCCGUAAAAUCUUGGUUUAAGUCCGGCAACGAGCGCAACCCUUAUGGUUAGUGGCAAUAAUUAAUUGGGCCAUUUUAACCGGGGCUGCCCGGUGAACCAAUUCGGAGGAAGGUGGGGACGACGUCAAAUCAUCAUGCCCCUUAUGUCCUGGGCUACACACGUACUACAAUGGUCACUACAAAGGGAAGCAAUACCGCAAGGAGGAGCAAAUCC